Molecule: ribosomal RNA, 39 nt
Filed under: Dikerogammarus bispinosus
Lineage: Eukaryota; Metazoa; Arthropoda; Malacostraca; Amphipoda; Gammaridae
Also listed under: 1 other name
Description: partial 5.8S ribosomal RNA
Source: RNAcentral
ACAACUCUGAGCGGUGGAUCACUUGGUCUGUGGAUGCUA